GGGGAAAAGUGUGGCAUCUUCAGUUUACAUCAACUUGCUCUCAUCUGAGACAAAACUAUGCUGGUGAGUCCUUCCUCAGAAAUCCGGUCCUUGCACUGCCUGGGAAUACAAACAGAUGCUCUGUGGCACUUCAUUAUUGGAUUGCGAGCACAUUGAUGUUUCAUAAAGGGCAUUGUAGAGUAAUGUUUGCCAUGCUCCAUGCCAAUUGCGGGCUGAGAUUGCUACAGCAUCAUGGAACAGAUGGAAGUUAAAGUCGUAGCUAAGCUCCAGUCUCCAUUUCUUUUGAUGAAGAGCUCCAAAGAUAGCUUUAAGUGAACUUUCAAAGCCCUCAGUGAGGCCAGAAAUCACUAGAAAUCUCAUUUAAACUUUCCCUCCUCGUUCUCAAGCAAAUUUACAACAGCGGCCAGUACUUUUGCAAGAUCGCUGGAGAGAAUUCAUCAUCAGAAUAGAGAUUGCAAGACCAUCACGAUGACUUCACGUCAGUGCCAGCAUAUGCAGCCGUGGAAUACAGUGAGCGCUCUCUGCGGCUGACAGCAAUAGCGGUGAUCUAAUUUACCCGGCGACUGGAAGAAACUCUUUGUACAGGCUCUGGGUCCCUUUGGAUUAGUGACUUCAAGGUCAACUGGAGGAGAAAGGAAGCAGGGCUGAGGGUCACCCUCUCCUGUCUCAUUUGCAUGCUCUUGAAUAUAUGAUUUUAAGAAACAUGCGUUUUUGAUCUGCAAUGUAAAAAUUCCUCAAUGAUUUUUUGUACAGAUGUGCAGAAUACAGGAAUGAAAUAAAAUAUUGAGAAUUUGUG
RNAcentral lists this long non-coding RNA (796 nucleotides) under Homo sapiens (human). RNAcentral's name for it is "novel transcript". The record is from RNAcentral. Lineage: Eukaryota; Metazoa; Chordata; Mammalia; Primates; Hominidae.